This 675-nucleotide ribosomal RNA is filed under the name uncultured bacterium. RNAcentral's name for it is "bacterial SSU rRNA". It matches the Rfam family "Bacterial small subunit ribosomal RNA", at positions 43 to 706 of the family's 1533-position model. The record is from RNAcentral.
CAGGCUUAACACAUGCAAGUCGAGGGGCAGCAUUUUAGUUUGCUUGCAAACUAAAGAUGGCGACCGGCGCACGGGUGAGUAACACGUAUCCAACCUGCCGAUAACUCGGGGAUAGCCUUUCGAAAGAAAGAUUAAUAUCCGAUAGUAUAUUUUCUCCGCAUGGCGAGAAUAUUAAAGAAUUUCGGUUAUCGAUGGGGAUGCGUUCCAUUAGUUUGUUGGCGGGGUAACGGCCCACCAAGACUACGAUGGAUAGGGGUUCUGAGAGGAAGGUCCCCCACAUUGGAACUGAGACACGGUCCAAACUCCUACGGGAGGCAGCAGUGAGGAAUAUUGGUCAAUGGACGAGAGUCUGAACCAGCCAAGUAGCGUGAAGGAUGACUGCCCUAUGGGUUGUAAACUUCUUUUAUAUGGGAAUAAAGUAUUCCACGUGUGGGAUUUUGUAUGUACCAUAUGAAUAAGGAUCGGCUAACUCCGUGCCAGCAGCCGCGGUAAUACGGAGGAUCCGAGCGUUAUCCGGAUUUAUUGGGUUUAAAGGGAGCGUAGGUGGAUUGUUAAGUCAGUUGUGAAAGUUUGCGGCUCAACCGUAAAAUUGCAGUUGAAACUGGCAGUCUUGAGUACAGUAGAGGUGGGCGGAAUUCGUGGUGUAGCGGUGAAAUGCUUAGAUAUCACGAAGAA